This 452-nucleotide ribosomal RNA is filed under the name uncultured bacterium. RNAcentral's name for it is "bacterial SSU rRNA". It matches the Rfam family "Bacterial small subunit ribosomal RNA", at positions 340 to 786 of the family's 1533-position model. The record is from RNAcentral.
UACGGAAGGCAGCAGUGGGGAAUAUUGCACAAUGGGCGCAAGCCUGAUGCAGCCAUGCCGCGUGUAUGAAAAAGGCCUUCGGGUUGUAAAGUACUUUCAGUCGUGAGGAAGGUGUUAAGGUUAAUAACCUUAGCAAUUGACGUUAGCGACAGAAGAAGCACCGGCUAACUCCGUGCCAGCAGCCGCGGUAAUACGGAGGGUGCGAGCGUUAAUCGGAAUUACUGGGCGUAAAGGGCACGCAGGCGGUUAAUUAAGUUGGAUGUAAAAUCCCCGGGCUUAACCUGGGAAUGGCAUUCAAGACUGGUUAGCUAGAGUCUUGUAGAGGGGGUAGAAUUCCAUGUGUAGCGGUGAAUGCGUAGAGAUGUGGAGGAAUACCGGUGGCGAAGGCGGCCCCUGGACAAAGACUGACGCUCAUGUGCGAAAGCGUGGGGAGCAAACAGGGAUUAGAUACC